This 261-nucleotide ribosomal RNA is filed under the name uncultured archaeon. RNAcentral describes it as "partial 16S ribosomal RNA". It matches the Rfam family "Archaeal small subunit ribosomal RNA", at positions 748 to 1008 of the family's 1478-position model. The record is from RNAcentral.
CAGCCCUAAACGAUGCGCGUUAGGUGUAUCGGUGACCACGAGUCACCGAGGUGCCGAAGGGAAACCGUGAAACGUGCCGCCUGGGAAGUACGGUCGCAAGGCUGAAACUUAAAGGAAUUGGCGGGGGAGCACCGCAGCGGGUGGAGCCUGCGGUUUAAUUGGACUCAACGCCGGGAAGCUCACCGGAUAAGACAGCGGAAUGAUUGCCGGGCUGAAGACCCUGCAUGACCAGCUGAGAGGAGGUGCAUGGCGUGUGACUGU